GAUGAAGAACGUAGCGAAAUGCGAUAAGUAAUGUGAAUUGCAGAAUUCAGUGAAUCAUCGAAUCUUUGAACGCACAUUGCGCCCGCCAGUAUUCUGGCGGGCAUGCCUGUCUGAGCGUCAUUUCAACCCUCAUGCCCCUAAGGCGUGGUGUUGGGGAUCGGCCAAAGCCCGCGAGGGACGGCCGGCCCCUAAAUCUAGUGGCGGACCCGUCGUGGCCUCCUCUGCGAAGUAGUGAUAUUCCGCAUCGGAGAGCGACGAGCCCCUGCCGUUAAACCCCCAACUUUCCAAGGUUGACCUCAGAUCAGGUAGGAAUACCCGCUGAACUUAAGCAUAUCAAUAAGCGGAGGA
This 348-nucleotide unclassified non-coding RNA is filed under the name soil metagenome. RNAcentral's name for it is "partial contains 5.8S ribosomal RNA, internal transcribed spacer 2, and large subunit ribosomal RNA". The stretch from base 1 to 120 matches the Rfam family "5.8S ribosomal RNA", at positions 35 to 154 of the family's 154-position model. The record is from RNAcentral.